UUGCAGUUUUCAAGGUUCUGGCUGGAACAACUUCCAGCAGUCGCUCGCUUUGGGGCGGUGCUGAAUUGUUCUUGAUUAAGGCUCGGUUAACCUAACGUCAGUGGAGGUAAGCGGACUCGAACCGCUGACAUCUGCCUUGCAAAGGCAGCGCUCUACCAACUGAGCUAUACCCCCAACAAGCCACAGCACGUCUCGCUUUCAGUUCUCUCCCUUUCGGGUUGCUCCUGAAAACGAAAAGGCUUGAGGCUUUUAGUG
This 255-nucleotide transfer RNA is filed under the name uncultured Phormidium sp. RNAcentral describes it as "partial 16S-23S ribosomal RNA intergenic spacer". The record is from RNAcentral. Lineage: Bacteria; Bacillati; Cyanobacteriota; Cyanophyceae; Oscillatoriales; Oscillatoriaceae.